Molecule: ribosomal RNA, 419 nt
Filed under: uncultured bacterium
Lineage: Bacteria
Description: partial 16S ribosomal RNA
Rfam family: Bacterial small subunit ribosomal RNA
Source: RNAcentral
AUAUUGGACAAUGGGGGCAACCCUGAUCCAGCCAUGCCGCGUGUGUGAAGAAGGUCUUCGGAUUGUAGAGCACUGUAAGUUGGGAGGAAGGGCUUUAGGCUAAUACCCUGAAGUUUUUACGUUACCAACAGAAUAAGCACUGGCUAACUCUGUGACAGCAGCCGCGGGAAUCCAGUGGGUCAAGCGUUAAUCGGAAUUACUGGGCGUAAAGCGGGCGUAGGUGGUUCAGUAAGAUGGGUGUGAAAUCCCCGGGCUUAACCUGGGAACUGCUUUCAUAACAGCUGAGCUAGAGUACGGUAGAGGGUAGUGGAAUUUCCUGUGUAGCGGUGAAAUGCGUAGAUAUAGGAAGGAACACCAGUGGCGAAGGCGACUACCUGGACUGAUACUGACACUGAGGUGCGAAAGCGUGGGGAGCAAAC